Molecule: small nuclear RNA, 103 nt
Organism: Astyanax mexicanus (Mexican tetra)
Lineage: Eukaryota; Metazoa; Chordata; Actinopteri; Characiformes; Acestrorhamphidae
Source: Ensembl
UUGUUAUGGCAGCACACAUACUAAAAUUGUAUUGAUACAGAGAAGAUUAGCAUGGCCCCUGUGAAAGGAUGACACGCAAAUCCCUGAAAUGGGAGUCGAGUUC